Molecule: ribosomal RNA, 242 nt
Filed under: uncultured bacterium
Lineage: Bacteria
Description: partial small subunit ribosomal RNA
Rfam family: Bacterial small subunit ribosomal RNA
Source: RNAcentral
AGAAUCAACGCUGGCGGCGUGCCUAACACAUGCAAGUCGCACGAGAAAGGGGAGCAAUCCCUGAGUAAAGUGGCGCACGGGUGAGUAACACGUGAAUGAUCUACCUCCGAGUGGGGAAUAACUGAGAGAAUCUUGGCUAAUACCGCAUAACACUUACGAGUCAAAGCAGCAAUGCGCUUGGAGAGGAGUUCGCGGCGAUUAGCUAGUUGGCGGGUAAUGGCCCACAAGGCGAUGGAUCGGUA